Molecule: long non-coding RNA, 1280 nt
Organism: Chelonia mydas (Green sea turtle)
Lineage: Eukaryota; Metazoa; Chordata; Testudines; Cheloniidae
Exons: 3
Source: RefSeq, a predicted model, not a curated record
AGCAUGACAAACUCCCAGUUACUGACAGGUGGGGGGCCGGCGGGGAAGCUUACUCUAGGGCGGCUCUCGGCUACCUCUGGCAGACAGCUGCAGAAGGAGGGAGUGACCGUGUGGCCCUGUGAAUCGGACCCGCUUGGUCCUGUGAUAACAGAGGAGCCGGUCCUUAGGACUCUGCCCCCAUCUCCGCUAGAAGGAGAGAUGGUGGACAAUGAAAGGGCGGACGGCUGACAUCCAAUUUGACCAGCCAGCCCGGGGAAACGAAUGUCCACAGCAGCUGAGCGCAUUGACAAUGGGGCCGGUAAUGUUAAUGCGGCCACCUGGAGGGCCUAGGGCCCGGCCUCGCAAAUCACUGUGCGCGGAGAGCUCAUGAUCCUGCCAGGUGGGGAAACUGAGGCAGAGAGGGGUGUACCCAAAGGCUCCAGAGCAAGCCUAUGGCACAGGGGAGAAUGCUGUGAUAUAAAAGUAGGGGUGCUACAGUCAAUCCCUUGUCAUUAUCUAAGUCACUCUCCCGGCCGUUAUAAAAGGUAGGAAACAGUAACAAGGUACAGUCGGAAACUCUCUGCAAUCUACACCUCGGGAAGUUUUUGACUGUUGCGAGUGUUCACUAGGAAACUCAGAGCGAUGCAGGUGAAGAGAAAGCGGCUCCGCUGAGAUAAAGCUGGGGAGUGACACACAGCACUGAAUGGGAUGAACCAAGGGAGGAGUCCCAGACGCACCCCCAUCUCCGCCCUCUCCAAAUUACAGCAUUGCUUGCCUUCCCCCCCCCCCUCAGAAACACCUCUCUCGCCAGAGCAUUACAAUAUUCAGCUCAGCCGAAAAGUUCAACUCUUUUGAAGGAUCAUGGCUAUUAUCACUAUAACCGCUGUAUAUUACCUGAUAACCAUUUGCAUGAGUUACCGGGCUGGUUUUUUUGUUUGUUUUUUCCUUUUUACGCUUUUCGGGGACAGAAAAUGCACCCCCUCCCCGCCCCAAUGCUUGCUAAAACGUCCGUUGCAACGUGUCUGUUUUAGCGAAGGCAUUAUUUCCCAAUGCGUCUGAUCAUGGAUUGUCGUAACACUUGGGUUAUGGGCAGUGCUUGCAGACGAGUUUCUGCUAUGGGAAGACGUAUGUCAGAGAGCAGAAAAUUAUUGACAAAGCUCAGAACCACUCUUCCAACAAGAUUAACAAUUCAACCAGACACAGGUUGAGUGUCACCCUUAGAAUUCCUCCUACAUGGGCAAUCCUGGCCGGGCGACCCUACAGCCUAAAUGGGUACCAUUAGGGUGCUCAGGGGUGCGAAA